GCCGUUCCCAGGAGGGCACCUCGCCGGCCGUCGGCCGCCGUUCCCAGGAGCACCUUGCCGGCAAGAUCAAGCUUGCCCAGUACCGCCUCCAUUCUUCCCCGCGUCGCCAGCAAGGUCCAGUUCGCCCAGGCCCAGAGGAGAAGGCCAGGAGCUCCUCUUACGCGCGAGCUCCUCCAGGCUCUCCCCUGGCAACAGCCGUACAUCCUCAACUGUAGCUCCCGGUCUCAGCAGCAGUUGAUCAUCAACAGAAGCAAUAACAACAGAUCAUCAACAAAACCAAUAAGAACAGAUCAUUAGCCCUCAAUAAAAGCAACAAGAGCAGAUCCUCGACAACAACAGUAACAAAUCGUUGGCUCAAUUGAAAUCAUGGUAGUUCCAAACCUCAAUUUCACUCCACCUGAAGAAGCCAAUGAAGAACCUGAAGAACAAGGCAACAAUGCUGGUCAAAAUGAGGUAUAAUUUCUUCUGAUCUUGUAUCAAAUUAUGCUUCAGAUAACAAAGAAGAAAGGGAUUGCUAAAAUUGAAUGGUGCAUAAGAUCCCAAGCCCUCUACAGCCAGAACCGUCACUUCAAUUUGUAUGAAGAAAUAUCAUGCAAAACAGUUGUUGAUCCGUAGAUGUCCACAUGGUAUCCUUGUCAGGAAGGAUAACAAACUGCAAUGGGUGUGAUUCACAGCUCGUGUAGAAAUAUCCAGUAGGAAAAAAAAUCAAAAUGAAGUGACAACAUGUAUGUGUGUGUAAAUAUUCAUAUACUCUCACCAGUUUAUGUCCUAGUUAGCUUAUGUUUAGUUGUGCAACCAGUGUUGUUGUAGGCUUCUUCAUCAGGGCCUGUUGCUGGUAAAAAUACUGAAGAUUCUGACGAAACUGAACCACGACGAGUUCAAUACUUACUAACGAACUGAACGUGUGCAUGUGUGAGCAUGUCCAUGUCUUGGCUCAGUUUGAGAUUAAUUAGAUUUGGCCAUUGUGGGAGCUCGUGGGAUAGCGCAAUUUCAACUCAUAAAGCGGAAACAUAGCUGCGGAGGAAUGGACGUGGGAUGGCACAGCCGAAAUACCCGCACAAAUAGAGAAAAAUGCAGAAAACUUGCAAUCAGUCGCCUCGAGGUUGCCGCUAUUUUUACAUUUCCAGCACAAAUAGAGUCCAAGUUUACAUUUCCAGCAAACUUUGGUUGUUUACAUUUCCAGCAACCAAUUUUUAAUAUUCUUGCAAUAAUUAACUUCAUUAUUCUAUUGCUAUUGUAGGAGUACAGAGUCAAAGGAAUUGGCUCACUGAUGCACAGAGAUAUGCCGCUUACAUGUCCUUGGAAACCCUCCAUAAGAGUAGAGGAGGCAGGUUUAAGAGAAGUGAUAAGAAGGAGGUGGCUGCACUAUUUGGAGCACAUGUUCGAGUUAUUCAAAGAAUAUGGGAGACGGCAAUGAUACAGAAAGGCCUUGGUCAGGAGGUGGAUGUUUCAAACAAAAGAAAGGGAAAUUGUGGGAGGAAACCUUAUGAUGAUAUCCUAUCUCUCAUUCCCACAAUUCCCUUAAACAAGAGGUCAACUAUUCGAUCACUAGCCAAGGCACUCGGUGUAAGCCCUACUACACUAUACAAGAAGUUCAAGCUGAAAAAGAUAAGGAGACACUCGAACAGUGUAAAACCGUUACUGACAGAGAAACAUAAGAGAGAAAGGGUGGAGUUUUGCCUCUCCAUGCUAGAUGAGGCAACAUUAGGAGAUGUAAGCCCAAGUUUCAGGAGUAUGCACAAUAUUGUGCACAUUGAUGAGAAAUGGUUCUGCAUGACAAAGAAAAAAAGAAACUACUAUCUGCUACCUGAUGAAGAGGACCCGGAGAGACCUGUUAAAAACUCUAUUUGGAAAGUGAUGUUUCUCACAGCAGUAGCAAGACCACGGUUUGAUGAAGAUGGAAACAUGACAUUUUCCGGGAAAAUUGGGGUUUGGCCAUUCGUGAGAGUGACUGCAGCAGCAAAAAGAAGCAAGAAUAGGGAAAAGGGGACAUUGGAAACAAAGUCUAUCAUAGUGACGAGGGAAGUGAUGAGAGAGUACAUUAUACAAAAGGUUGUACCAGCAAUUCAAGCAUUGUGGCCUCAAGAUGAUGCUGGACAGCCCAUUUUUAUCCAGCAAGAUAACGCGAGAACACAUAUCCUACCUAAUGAUCAAGCAUUCGUAGAAGCUGUGGACGAAAGUGGCCUGGACAUUAGAAUAAUGUAUCAGCCUCCAAAUUCUCCGGACAUGAACGCCCUGGAUCUUGGGUUCUUCAGCUCGAUUCAGUCGCUAACGGACUGCAAAAGUCCAAAAACUAUUCCAGAGCUGAUUAAAGGUGUUCAAGAGGAGUUUGAUGGAUAUGAAGUUGCAAAACUUAACAGAGUAUUCAUAACUCUGCAGACUUGCAUGGUCGAAGUAAUGAAGAAUGGUGGAGCCAAUAAAUACAAAAUCCCACAUAUGAACAAGGAAAGGCUAGAAAGGCUACGAUUGCUACCGCCCAGGGUCUCAGUUCCUCCUGAAGUGUAUGCAAUGGCACUAGAGAUGCUAGAACACUGAUCCUAAUCCAGUUUGUUGUGUAUUCUGUGUGUAUUUGUAUAUUCCAUGUGAUUAUUGUUUCCAAAAGAUUAUGUACUCCAACUUAUAUUUAUUGUUGCCACACACUAUAUAUUGUGCUAUAUAUUGCUAUAUAGUCCAGCUUAUACUUGGAAUUCAAAACAGAAUCAUACUGGAGCUCAAAAACAGAGAAGCUCUUCUUGAGAUGACCAAUUGAUUCAGUGUACAAGCAUUGGUACUUCGGUAGGAUUGUGCUUGUAACUGCAUUGGUAGGAUAAGAGCACAUUAUUUUCUCUUUUCUCUAGGUAAAAGCUACUCGAACAUAGACUAUCUUUCUCACAGCAAGGUUGACUAAAUUGUAAAGGUUUGUUGAAACUGAACAUAUGUGUGAGAGCAUGAGUACUAAAACUGAACUCUGUUGAUUUAACCACAUCUAGUGCAUAACCACAUCUACUCCACAUUUGGCAGAUAGUUGGAGUACAGAUAAUUGGGCGAGGUUGGUCAACGUAGACUGACCUUGCAAUCCGACGAACAUGAGCGCGAUGAAGGGCCUCAAGUUUCAGUGCGCCGCUGCUGCCUCCUUUCCGGCCAGAUCCGGCCGUCCUUAGUGUUGCCGCUCGCCGGUGUGGCCAUUGACCUCAUCCCUGGUGCGCAGCUGGCUGUGGCCGCGCUCCUCGUAGAGCAAGGAGAUGCUCGGCUGCGAGGAGGCGGAGCCCGUGGACUUGCUGGUUGUUUGCCCCCCCGCCCCGGAGUCAUCUGACUGGCUCGUGCUCACCGUCGACCCCGUGGCUGUUGUUGUGGUGGUCAUGGUCGUGGCCGGGGCCGAGGCCGACGACCCCCGCCUCCCGCUCUUGGACCCCUCUUCUUGAUCCACACGAGACAGCUCAUCUCUCGCCGCCUCGAGCGUGCUCCGUUGACGGUGAGCCGCCGCGCCAGCCAAGAAACAGGCCUCCUCGCGGACAGUGCGUCCCAGGGGAGGAGCGAGCAGGAGAGAGCAGGGUGGCCGUGCAAGGCUGGCCCGUGCUUUGUACUGGUCCACGCGCCGGCAUCAUGUCCGUCGUUCCUGCAGAUCCAGCGGAUAAAAAUGUGAGCUUUGACCUCGAAAGGACUGCGGGAGAAAACCUGCGGUGGGGAGCGAGAGGAAGAUGCCGACGGAGAGAGGGAGGUAGGGGCGGCAGUGAUACGGAGCCAUGGAUGGGCGGCGACUGGGGCCGCGGAGGGCGGCGACCCCGGCGGCAGAGAGGAGCGCGAGAGUGUGUGAGCGAGCGGUGCGCAAAGCGAUAGUGAAAAAGAAACGCGAG
This 3833-nucleotide long non-coding RNA is filed under the name Hordeum vulgare. RNAcentral describes it as "long non-coding RNA (HVUL_LNC017388)". Lineage: Eukaryota; Viridiplantae; Streptophyta; Magnoliopsida; Poales; Poaceae. The record is from RNAcentral.